RNAcentral lists this ribosomal RNA (431 nucleotides) under uncultured bacterium. RNAcentral's name for it is "partial 16S ribosomal RNA". It matches the Rfam family "Bacterial small subunit ribosomal RNA", at positions 29 to 507 of the family's 1533-position model. The record is from RNAcentral.
AAUGAACGCUGGCGGCAGGCUUAACACAUGCAAGUCGAGCGCCCCGCCAGGGGGGUGGCAGACGGGUCGGUAACGCGUGGGAACGUACUAUUAUCUUCGGGACCGCCCUGGGAAACUGGAAUUAAUACCGAAUAUGCCAUUUGGUGGAAGGAUUGAUCGGAUUAGGAUUGGUUCGCGUUGGAUUAGCUAGUUGGUGGGGUAAUGGCCUACCAAGGCGACGAUCCAUAGCUGGUCUGAGAGGAUGGUCAGCCACACUGGGACUGAGACACGGCCCAGACUCCUACGGGAAGGACCAGUGGGGAAUAUUGGAAAAUGGGGGCAGGCCUGAUCCUGCCAUGCCGCGUGAGUGAUGAAGGCCUUAGAGUUGUAAAGCUCUUUCACCGGAGAAGAUAAUGACGGUACCCGAAGAAGAAGCCCCGGCUAACUUCGUG